GAUGAACGCUGGCGGCGUGCCUAAUACAUGCAAGUCGAGCGAACAGACGAGGAGCUUGCUCCUCUGACGUUAGCGGCGGACGGGUGAGUAACACGUGGAUAACCUACCUAUAAGACUGGGAUAACUUCGGGAAACCGGAGCUAAUACCGGAUAAUAUAUUGAACCGCAUGGUUCAAUAGUGAAAGACGGUUUUGCUGUUACUUAUAGAUGGAUCCGCGCCUCAUUAGCUAGUUGGUAAGGUAACGGCUUACCAAGGCAACGAAGCGUAGCCGACCUGAGAGAGUGAUCGGACACACUGGAACUGAGACACGGUCCAGACUCCUACGGGAGGCAGCAGUAGGGAAUCUUCCGCAAUGGGCGAAAGCCUGACGGAGCAACGCCGCGUGAGUGAUGAAGGGCUUCGGAUCGUAAAACUCUGUUAGUAGGGAAGAACAAAUGUGUAAGUAACUAUGCACGUCUUGACGGUACCUAAUCAGAAAGCCACGGCUAACUACGUG
Molecule: ribosomal RNA, 497 nt
Filed under: uncultured bacterium
Lineage: Bacteria
Description: partial 16S ribosomal RNA
Rfam family: Bacterial small subunit ribosomal RNA
Source: RNAcentral